Molecule: long non-coding RNA, 807 nt
Organism: Ipomoea triloba (trilobed morning glory)
Lineage: Eukaryota; Viridiplantae; Streptophyta; Magnoliopsida; Solanales; Convolvulaceae
Exons: 2
Source: RefSeq, a predicted model, not a curated record
UGUUUUGGCCUGGUCUUAAGCCAUUAAAUAUUUAUUUAAGAAUUUAAUUAUUAUUUUGGCCAUUAAGAAUUAUAACUAUUGUUUAAGUUGGUUAUGUUUUUCAAUUUAUCAAUGGUUUUCAGGGCCUUAAUAAUAUUAAUUCUUUAAUUUUAAAGUAAUAUAGUCAUGUUAAUUAUUAUGCGGUAAAUUGAGAUUAGUGUAUGGCAUCCCUUAAUUGCAGUUUUGCCUUUAUUUUAAUUAUUAUUAAUUGGCAUUAUUAGUUACUGUUAUCAAGUUUAGAGACUAAUCUCAUUUAUUACUUUUCAUAAUAAUUAUUGUUUCAUGGUAAUCUGCCAUAUUUGGUACAUUGGUAAGAUUACCCAUGUCAAUUCAUUUUAUUACAUGACUAUUAAUGUUGGUAAUUAAGUCCUAUCAACAAAUCUUUUAUAUACCAUUGGACGCUGCAUUGAGGUUACUGACACCAACAAUGAAUAUGGGGAGAAUUAUGAAGUUUUUUUCUCUUGUGGAUCGUCAUCGUUGCUAGCGCAAUGGGAAGAUGCGGUUUGCAUCAUUAAGGACCCAAUUGCGGACAUAAUCUCUCUGCCAAUGAUGCCAGACUCCCUGGGACCCGACGCCUAUAAGAGGUGGAUGCGUCUUUUCAAGAUCCAUCAGAAGCAUGAGGAGAAGAAGGAAGCUCAUAUUAAAAUUGCUUUAAGUUACGCAAUUUGUUUAGGAUAUAUGAGUUUAAUGCUUAAUUUUAUGCAUAUUAAUUUGUCCACUGCAUAAUAUUCUGGUUUUAAAUUAUGCAAUUUUAUUAUUAUGCCUUCA